Molecule: ribosomal RNA, 751 nt
Filed under: uncultured Comamonadaceae bacterium
Lineage: Bacteria; Pseudomonadati; Pseudomonadota; Betaproteobacteria; Burkholderiales; Comamonadaceae
Description: bacterial SSU rRNA
Rfam family: Bacterial small subunit ribosomal RNA
Source: RNAcentral
AUUGAACGCUGGCGGCAUGCCUUACACAUGCAAGUCGAACGGUAACAGGUCUUCGGAUGCUGACGAGUGGCGAACGGGUGAGUAAUACAUCGGAACGUGCCCAGACGUGGGGGAUAACGAGGCGAAAGCUUUGCUAAUACCGCAUACGAUCUAAGGAUGAAAGCAGGGGACCGCAAGGCCUUGCGCGUUUGGAGCGGCCGAUGGCAGAUUAGGUAGUUGGUGGGAUAAAAGCUUACCAAGCCGACGAUCUGUAGCUGGUCUGAGAGGACGACCAGCCACACUGGGACUGAGACACGGCCCAGACUCCUACGGGAGGCAGCAGUGGGGAAUUUUGGACAAUGGGCGAAAGCCUGAUCCAGCAAUGCCGCGUGCAGGAUGAAGGCCUUCGGGUUGUAAACUGCUUUUGUACGGAACGAAAAGGCUCUGGUUAAUACCUGGGGCACAUGACGGUACCGUAAGAAUAAGCAUCGGCUAACUACGUGCCAGCAGCCGCGGUAAUACGUAGGGUGCGAGCGUUAAUCGGAAUUACUGGGCGUAAAGCGUGCGCAGGCGGUUUUGUAAGACAGAGGUGAAAUCCCCGGGCUCAACCUGGGAACUGCCUUUGUGACUGCAAAGCUGGAGUGCGGCAGAGGGGGAUGGAAUUCCGCGUGUAGCAGUGAAAUGCGUAGAUAUGCGGAGGAACACCGAUGGCGAAGGCAAUCCCCUGGGCCUGCACUGACGCUCAUGCACGAAAGCGUGGGGAGCAAACAGG